Molecule: long non-coding RNA, 734 nt
Organism: Grammomys surdaster
Lineage: Eukaryota; Metazoa; Chordata; Mammalia; Rodentia; Muridae
Exons: 3
Source: RefSeq, a predicted model, not a curated record
CAGAAAUUCACAUCUCUGACUUUGAAGGGGCCGCUCUCAGCCCUGGUGGGUCUUUCCCAAAGACUAAGGUUUCUAGAACCAGCUAAUAGCUGUGCUGUUAGCCCUUUGCCCACACUGCCCACGGAAAACUAACUCCUGCCUGCCAACGUGGCUCCUGCAAUGUCUGCUAAAGAAACAAGCCCAAAUUAGAGAAACUCCAGAUGAAAGAACAUCAUCUGACAAAAAGAGCUGCCCUCAGGAGCUGCCCCUCAGGAGCUGUCCACGGUGGCGAACCCUUUCCGGCCUCAGUCUACUGCUGAUAUGAGAAGCUGUCCAGGGUGGUGCAUCACUUUUUCUGCCUCAGUAGGAGGGGCCUCUCAGGAGCAGCCACCCCUCAGGAGCUAUCCACAGUGGUGACACCUUCUAUCCUGCAUCAGCCUACAGCUUUCAGAAACACUACUUAGGAGCUGUCCACAUUGGCAACACCUCCUCUCCAGCCUCCCCGACCCCAGUAGUGCCACUACAGAGAUGUUACCUCAGCAAAAGCCAGCUGCAGCCAGGAAGGACUUCCCACCCCAAGCAAUGGGCCUGAUGCAGAGAAAAGGGGGUGAAAAAAAAGCCACCAGUCUCUUAGCAGGAAACCACACCAGUCCCUGAGCUCCCCAAACUCAGGACUUGAACUCCCACCACUCCUCAGUCAGAAAAGCUCUGCCCUGAAAAACUCUGUCACCUCAGAUAGAGAUCCUAUAUAAGCC